Molecule: transfer RNA, 62 nt
Filed under: Hormaphis betulae
Lineage: Eukaryota; Metazoa; Arthropoda; Insecta; Hemiptera; Hormaphididae
Description: tRNA-Ser
Source: RNAcentral
AAAGAUUUUAAAAUUAAAAGAAGCUCCUAACUAUCUUUUUAAGCAUUAAAUGUUUAAUCUUU